This 431-nucleotide ribosomal RNA is filed under the name uncultured bacterium. Its description in RNAcentral is "partial 16S ribosomal RNA". It matches the Rfam family "Bacterial small subunit ribosomal RNA", at positions 29 to 505 of the family's 1533-position model. The record is from RNAcentral.
AACGAACGCUGGCGGCAUGCCUAACACAUGCAAGUCGAACGAGACCUUCGGGUCUAGUGGCGCACGGGUGCGUAACGCGUGGGAACCUGCCCUUAGGUUCGGAAUAACUCCCCGAAAGGGGUGCUAAUACCGGAUAAUGUCUUCGGACCAAAGAUUUAUCGCCUUUGGAUGGGCCCGCGUUGGAUUAGCUAGUUGGUAGGGUAAAAGCCUACCAAGGCGACGAUCCAUAGCUGGUCUGAGAGGAUGAUCAGCCACACUGGGACUGAGACACGGCCCAGACUCCUACGGGAGGCAGCAGUGGGGAAGAUUGGACAAGGGGGAAAGGCCUGAGCCAGCAAUGCCGCGUGAGUGAUGAAGGCCGUAGGGUUGUAAAGCUCUUUUACCCGGGAUGAUAGUGACAGUACCGGGAGAAUAAGCCCGGGCUAACUCCG